RNAcentral lists this ribosomal RNA (254 nucleotides) under uncultured bacterium. Its description in RNAcentral is "partial 16S ribosomal RNA". It matches the Rfam family "Bacterial small subunit ribosomal RNA", at positions 524 to 776 of the family's 1533-position model. The record is from RNAcentral.
UACGGAGGGUGCAAGCGUUAUCCGGAAUCACUGGGUUUAAAGGGUGCGUAGGCGGUUUCGUAAGUCAGUUGUGAAAUACCCCGGCUUAACCGGCGGAAGUGCGAUUGAUACUGCGAGACUUGAAUCAGGUUGAGGUAGGCGGAAUGUGGCAUGUAGCGGUGAAAUGCUUAGAUAUGCCAUAGAACACCGAUUGCGAAGGCAGCUUGCUGGACCUGUAUUGACGCUGAGGCACGAAAGCGUGGGGAGCAAACAGG